Molecule: ribosomal RNA, 292 nt
Filed under: uncultured bacterium
Lineage: Bacteria
Description: partial 16S ribosomal RNA
Rfam family: Archaeal small subunit ribosomal RNA
Source: RNAcentral
GUGCCAGCAGCCGCGGUAAUACCCGCAGCACAAGUGGUGGUCAUUAUUAUUGGGCCUAAAGCGUCCGUAGCUGGCUUGUUAGAUGCCUGGGUAAAUCGAUGCGCUCAACGCAUCGAACUCCGGGUAGACCGGCAAGCUUGGGACCGGGAGAGGCGUGAGCUACUCGAGGGGUAGGGGUAAAAUCCUGUAAUCCUUCGGGGAGGACCAGUGGCGAAGGCGUCACGCUAGAACGGCUCCGACAGUGAGGGACGAAGCCCUGGGGCGCAAACCGGAUUAGAUACCCCCGUAGUCC